RNAcentral lists this unclassified non-coding RNA (580 nucleotides) under Hevea brasiliensis (rubber tree). Lineage: Eukaryota; Viridiplantae; Streptophyta; Magnoliopsida; Malpighiales; Euphorbiaceae. The record is from RNAcentral.
AAUAUUGAGUUCUGGGAUUGCCUCUAUUAAAAUGGUUUAAACCAAUUUGAUUUGACUCUCUCUUAUUACAUAUUCUUUUUCAAUUUUUUUGUAAGUUCUUCACGAGAGACUCAAACAGUUAGCCUUAUAAUACAUUAGGUUAGCUUCUUCUUUAAGAAUUGUUUAGAUACAAAGCAAAAUUGAAAGUACUUACUAUAGUUGCAAAUUUUGGUAGGAACUGGGAGCUUCUUGGGGCAUGGCAGGGAGCUAAAAUUACAGUGCCUACAAAAUUGAUAAUUGGUGACAAGGAUUUGGGGUUUGUAUCAUUUGGGACAAAGGACUACAUCAAUGGAGAAAUAUUCAAGAGCUUAGUACCUAACCUUGAAGUGGUUGUCAUUGAUGGGCACCAUUUUAUCCAGCAGGAGAAAGCUGAACAAGUUUCUAAUGAAAUUUUAUCCUUUUUUAGCAAGAAACCAAAGAUGUGAUCAAUGAAUCAAUUAUGCAAAUAGUUUAGCACACCUUCAAUAAGUGCUAAUUCCUGAAAUCAAGUUUGUCGAUGUAUCACUUUUCAUAAGGAUAUUGAUACUUGAGACAUUAAUAG